Molecule: ribosomal RNA, 465 nt
Filed under: uncultured bacterium
Lineage: Bacteria
Description: partial 16S ribosomal RNA
Rfam family: Bacterial small subunit ribosomal RNA
Source: RNAcentral
GACGAACGCUGGCGGCGUGCUUAACACAUGCAAGUCGAACGGAAAGGCCCUGCUUGCAGGGUACUCGAGUGGCGAACGGGUGAGUAACACGUGGGUGAUCUGCCCUGCACUUCGGGAUAAGCCUGGGAAACUGGGUCUAAUACCGGAUAGGAGCCAUUUUUAGUGUGAUGGUUGGAAAGUUUUUUCGGUGUAGGAUGAGCUCGCGGCCUAUCAGCUUGUUGGUGGGGUAAUGGCCUACCAAGGCGGCGACGGGUAGCCGGCCUGAGAGGGUGGACGGCCACAUUGGGACUGAGAUACGGCCCAGACUCCUACGGGAGGCAGAAGUGGGGAAUAUUGCACAAGGGGCGCAAGCCUGAUGCAGCGACGCCGCGUGGGGGAGGACGGCCUUCGGGUUGUAAACUCCGUUCGCUAGGGACGAAGCUUUUUGUGACGGUACCUAGAUAAGAAGCACCGGCUAACUACGUG